UACAGAGGUCACGAACGUUGUCCGGAAUUAUUGGGCGUAAAGAGCUCGUAGGCGGUUUGUUGCGUCGGGAGUGAAAACUUACAGCUUAACUGUGAGCGUGCUUCCGAUACGGGCAGACUUGAGGUAUUCAGGGGAGAACGGAAUUCCUGGUGUAGCGGUGAAAUGCGCAGAUAUCAGGAGGAACACCGGUGGCGAAGGCGGUUCUCUGGGAAUAUCCUGACGCUGAGGAGCGAAAGUGUGGGGAGCGAACAGG
This 253-nucleotide ribosomal RNA is filed under the name uncultured bacterium. RNAcentral's name for it is "partial 16S ribosomal RNA". It matches the Rfam family "Bacterial small subunit ribosomal RNA", at positions 524 to 776 of the family's 1533-position model. The record is from RNAcentral.